RNAcentral lists this ribosomal RNA (274 nucleotides) under uncultured bacterium. RNAcentral describes it as "partial 16S ribosomal RNA". It matches the Rfam family "Bacterial small subunit ribosomal RNA", at positions 523 to 796 of the family's 1533-position model. The record is from RNAcentral.
AUACGGAGGGUGCGAGCGUUAAUCGGAAUUACUGGGCGUAAAGCGCGCGUAGGCGGUUUGGUCAGUCAGAUGUGAAAGCCCUGGGCUCAACCUGGGAACUGCAUUUGAUACUGCCAGGCUAGAGUAUGAUAGAGGGAAGUGGAAUUCCGGGUGUAGCGGUGAAAUGCGUAGAUAUCCGGAGGAACACCAGUGGCGAAGGCGACUUCCUGGACCAAUACUGACGCUGAGGUGCGAAAGCGUGGGUAGCAAACAGGAUUAGAAACCCUAGUAGUCC